RNAcentral lists this long non-coding RNA (11489 nucleotides) under Panax ginseng (ginseng). RNAcentral describes it as "long non-coding RNA (PGIN_LNC009817)". Lineage: Eukaryota; Viridiplantae; Streptophyta; Magnoliopsida; Apiales; Araliaceae. The record is from RNAcentral.
CGAUUCAUGGGCAUAUUACCCAAUCAUCAGCACCCUAGGAAAGCUUGAGUUUAAUAGCUUCAUGAUGGGUAAUAUAUGUAUAGAUAUAAUAUCUAUAUCUAAUAUUAAUCCAAGUAUACUUACAAUAUUAGCUCAUAUGUAGUCAUUUGUGUAUACUUGCAUUCUAUCAAGCAUAGAGAUAAAAUAUAUUUUGAGAGAGAGUUAUUGUGGGAGAAAAGAGGAAGGAGGUGCCUCCACAUAGAGGAGAAGGAGAGGGAGUCUUUCAUGUCAUCUAGCUUCAUCAUAUACCAUGGAAGAAGAAGGAAAGUAGCCAUUAAAAGCAACAAGUAAGAAAAACAAACCUUAAAAUCCUAAUCUUGUUUUUUUCUUUCAAGUUUAUGAUAGGAAUGUUAUGUUGAAUUUCUAAAUGGCUAGAUUCUUGCUAAACAUGUUUAUAUAGGUUAACAUAUAUUUAACUUGUGUAUUAGUGAUUAUGUCAAAAAUUUUGAAAGAAAGCUCAAAAAUAUUUUUGCCGGAAAACUAAAAUUUAACAGCCCGCUCCUGGAGUUACUGUUCACGUUCUAUAAGUCGGAUUCAUGAUCCGUCAAAUUUGGGUGAUAGAGCUAUUCGAUACAAAGAUUCUCCAAGUGGAACGACUAAAAUCGAUUUCAAACGACUGGGUUAUGAUUUUUCUAACAAAAGACCCCGCUGUCAGAAAACACCCACUGACAGUCGGUUGUUUGGUCAUUUUCAGUGGCCUAAACAUGUCCAAAUAAACGAUCUGAUGAUCGGAUAUUGUAUUUUAAGAAGAUACGAAGAGAACAAGACGGACUAGAGGUUAAAUGGAGUUGUAGAACUCAGGAUAUGCAAGUUUCCCUCGGGACCCCAAAGUUGCCUAAUAAAUUCGCGAAUUAACAAAGCUUAAAUCCAAUUAAAUCAUUAAAAAUCAUAGUUAAUUAAUUUUUAAUGCAUGUUAAUGGAUGAUUAAACUAAUUAAAUAUAGUUUAAGUAUAUUUAAUCAUUUAUUUAUUAAUUAAGUAACAUUAAGUAAUAAUUAAAUAGAGUUAGUAUGGUUAAUUUACCUAUUGGUAAUUUAAUUACGAUUAAAUGAUAAAUAGAGUUAAUUAAUUAUUAUUUAAUUAAAAUUAAAUAAUGAUUACAGAGUAUUUAAGUUAAUAAAUUAAUUAUUUAUUAUUUAAGUAAGAUUAAGUAAUAAAUAAUGAGUAUUACUCAAUUAGAUGUUAUUUAAUUAACAUAAACUUUAAUAAAUUAAGUAAUUAUUAUUUAAUAAUAUUAAAUAAUAAUUAAAGGCAAAUAUAGUUAAUAAAUUAAUUAUUUAUUAUUUAAUUAAUAUUAAAUAAUAAAUAAGGAUUAAUUAAUUAUUAUUUAAUUAAUAUUAAAUAAUAAUUAAAUAAAAAUAAAAUGAUAGUAAUUAUUUAUUAUUUAAUUAAUAAUAAAUAAUAAAUAAGGAUAAAUAAAUAAAUAAUUAUAAUUUAAUUAAUAUUAGAUAAUAAUUAAAGACAAAUACACUAAUAAAUUGAUUAUUUAUUAUUUAAUUAAUAUUAAAUAAUAAAUAGGUGUAAUUAAUUAUUAUUUAAUUAAUAUUAAAUAAUAAUUAAAGCUAAAUAAGAUUAAUAAUUUAAUUAUUUAUUAUUUAAUUAACUUUAAAUAAUAAAUAAACAUAAUUAGUUAUUAUUUAUUAGUAAAUAUUAACUAAAGGUAAUUAAUUAAUUACUAUUUGAUUAAUAUUAAAUAGUAAUUAAAUGAAGAUAGAGUUAAUAAGAUAAAAAUAAUUUAAUUAAAUAAUUAUAACAAAUUAUUUAAGGGUUUAAUAAGUGUUUAACACUUAAAAAAAUACUCUUAAUUAAUUAAAUCACUAACAUAAGAUCAAUUAAUUGUCUUAUAGGGUUAUUGAUAGUAUAUCGAUCAAUGUGAAUUAUGUGGUAGACUUAUUUGUUAGACAAGUUCUUAGUAAACGUAUAGACGUACAAGUAUACGCAAUACUAAUUGAUAGAUCGACUUUAUUAAUGAUUAGGUCUUUUAACGCAAGUCAUUUAAUGCUAGAUUUGUGUAGCUCGUCAGACAAGCAAGUUUCUUAACUCAAAUUUGAGUUAUUAUUUUCAUAGCAUGUUAGUGGAUAAUCAUUGUUGAUUAUUCCACAUCCGUAAUGAUUAUUGAUAUUCGCAUUUUGUGCAAUUGAAUUCAUGUUCUUUAAUUAUUGAACUGUGAAUUAAUUAAAGUUCUUUUAUUAAUGAACUGUUUAUGGGCUAGAUCUAUGCUAAUUGUAUCAGCUAAAUCGAACAUGUUUAAAUUUGUUAAAUCAAAUAUGUUUUAAAAGCUGUUCCUAACCAAUUGAUUUGAUAAGGACUCAUGACUGAGAAAAAGAAUAAUUUUACUAAAGCAUUAUAUUGUAAAGGUUUAAGCAUAUAUCACCGGGUAUGAAAGGUUGAUCCUCUUGAAUACCAAAACUUAUGAAAAGGACCAGUUUAAAUACUGAUAACCUUAGUAUAUGUUCAUGGUCAUUGUUGACCACUGAACUUAAUCUUUCAAUUAUUGAAGACUUGAAUUUUCAUUCUUUCACAAACAAACGUUAUUGUUGAACAUUGAGAGUCAAAUACCUUUCUAAUCAUGAUAUAUCUCCUUUGUUUUUAAACUUGCUAAUCAAAUUAGUUGCUUACCCUUGCUAUAUCAUGACGUUUAUUUUAGCUAAGUCGAAAAGUUCCAAGAAGGAUAAAGGUUAAGGCAAAUUUCAAGAAUAGAUAUAUGUGAACGUUUAAUUAUCAUAGUAUCUGAUGUAAUUAUUUAUGUAAACAUUUUGUAAUAUUAAUGGAAUGUAAUAAGUUAUGGUUAAUAGACCUUGGGAGUUAGGUAAGACUUUAUUAUAAUGAACAAUGUAUGUUUAUUAUUCUGCAAUAAUUUAUAGAAUGUUUAUGUUGUUGAUGGAUCGUGAACACCAAACCUGAUGUUAGAGAACUAGGAUUUAGGGGCGUAAUAAGUCUUCUGCCAGAUAUCAGUAGACGAAAUUAUAUUAUUGGAGAGUACUCCCUUUCUGUAGAGACAAAAACUAGGGCUUAGCCAUAUACCCUUCUUCUUCCUUGGUGGAUCACCUCUAGAGGCCAAACGCUUGGGUGGCUAACGUUGAUCAAAGGAAGGAAUUAAACCCGCAUAUUCAAGGAGAGCACAAAGGACUAGGAGUUGAACUUGUACUUAAGGAAGCUCGAAUCUUCAAGGGUAUGAUUCUUAUUCUCCUUCUUCUUCUGUUAAUUUAUAAUAUAGCACAAAGCAUUAUCAUGGGUAUGGGUUUGUAUAAAAUUUUAAAUCCCCAUUUCUUCGCGCUUCCGCAUUAUUUAUAUGAUUUGACUACGUAAUUGCGAUAUAUACAAACUACAUAUUCUAGCUCUAAUUGAUAACGAUAUGAAAAUUUUUCAGUAGGUACAUCAUUGUACAAAGGAUCUAUAACCAUAACCCGCCAUCUUUUAAUAUCUACAACGAACAAAAAAUAAUGGGAGUUUUUAUGGUUAACUGGAAGGAAGAAAAAAUUACAGUAUGCCAUUUGCGAUUGGGCUCCUUGGUUGAAAAAAUAGGGGGCCACCUCGGCGACGUCAUAUUCCUUCUUACUUGCUAGACUGAGUUUGCGGUAUGAUGGCCACCAUUGUUUUAGUAAUUAGAAAAAACAACAACGAAUGAAAUAAUAUUUCUUUCUGUCGGGUAAGCCCUGCUAUAGAUGAUCUUCACAUAACUUCAACAUACUCAGAUACGCAUCGAUUGUCUGAUCUUAUAGCUCGCUCCCUAGAAAAAGACAUAGGAGGUCCUUAUGGACUAAUCGGUACUCGUCAUCAGGACUGACAUGAGGAAGCUGUGUUGAAUCUACCACAUCAGAAAACCAAUUUCAGUUUAGCCAGUCUACCUUUUCUAAUUUUAGUGGUUUGAGAGGAUUAUUCUUACGAUAUCCCGACUGAUCCCUUUGUAGCCAUGGAGGAUAAAUUAUAGACACGCUCUCCUCCCCACCUCGAAUAGGCUCUGAAUAUGAUUGCAGGCCGAGAGUUUCUUCUAAUAUCGGGGUCAACUGCAUCGGCUGAAAGUGAUCCGCAGUGUUAAUUCCAACAGUCAAACUCCAUUGAUGUAUGUAAUGUGGGGGACGUGUUAUGUAUGAUAGGUGUUCCUCUACAACGUCUAAUUGGAUGUCGGGCACAUAAGGGGAUCUUUGACUGUAUUGAGUGAAUGGAUUAAAAGCGGAAAAUGGCAUUUCUUGCGUUAACUGAUCUUCUGGAACAUUGUGGAUGGUUUUGUUGGGAUCUUCAAAAAAUCCCCGGUACUUUUCAUUAAACAUUACUGACCUUACAUACCAAUCUUCAUACACAUGGCGAGGGUUGUGUACAGGUGGUUUUGACAGAAGGUUUUGAACAAAAUCUCGCGCGACCUUGAUAUGUAUAUUUCAGGAUAUAUUUCAUUAGCAAGGCGUAUGUAAUAUGUUAUAGAUGUACAAUGUAUAAAAUAUUACAAAGAAACUUACGAGGCCGGCAGCUUUGUACUGACUAAAGAAGGCACGCGGUAUAUAUGUAUCGUUUGGUUGAAUUUGUGGGUGGCUUAUUCUCAAACGAGUCAUCUGCCUAUACCAGCUGAGGUAAUUGACCAGACGAAUUUCCUACCUUGUGGCGACCACACAAUCUAAUACAAUAUAUUGCCAUGCAUACCACGUGAUGAUGUAUUCUCUUUCCAACUCGAUAUAAUCAAUUGAGCAGAUCCCUUCCUGCUCUCAGCGGAGUUCGAUCGUAUAUAUCGGGUCGGGCGGAAUAUCCUAUACUUUCCCAAAUUGUCUUAAUACAUGAUCUUGAAUUUGGAAUUCAACCACGUCGAGCCAAAUGAGGGGAAUACGUGAGGCCCCACUAUAUCAUGUUACCUGAUACUCUUGUGCCACAAGAUGAUCGAAAUGUGAAUACGACAUCCAGGGUACCAUAGCAUCUGUCAUCCAAUCAAAUUCCCCCGGUAAAAGAUUUAGUUGUGAUGGGGAUAUGGUCUUCUUGCCUUUUUCAGAGUAUGAAUUUUUCUUCUGUAAGCCUAUGCUCUUACGCGGGGCAACAAAUGAUCGACCCGUCUUGCAUAAUUAGGCCUACCGAUUGAUAGACGUUCGUAGGCCCACACUUUUGUCAUAAGAUUUGAAGUUAAAACAUCGUCAUACAGUAUGUCAUCAAAUAUUAAUUUAAAUAAUCAUGAAGGUAUAGAGACAAUAAAAUACCUGAAGAAGGGUUAAACACCCAGAAAAUUUUUUAGAAUCAAGGCAGGUUGCUUUAUGUAAGCUACAGAACAAACAAGCCAACACUACAGCUCCCCAUACAUAAUCACUUACUUUAUUAAUAUCCUCUAAACAUAAAAGAUACCACGCAUGUAUGAUGUCGCGGUUUGCCAAUUCAAAUAAUACCUUCCCCAAUAUAAAUAGUACGUAUACUUUGGUGUAAGUUACCACCGUUUCCCAAUCAGCAUCUACCAAAACUUGGCAAAAUCUACUUCCCAACCACGACAACAUAAUGGCCCCUCGAGUAUACAUUUUCUCAUCCCCCAUAAUAUAUUGACUAAAUUCGCUAUCAAUAAAGUACUAUUUAGGGUUAUAGAGUAAUGUAUAUGUAAUAGGUUGCCCUAUAACUGGUGAUCCUAAAAUGAAAUGUACAUCUUCAAGUGUGACUGUCAUUUUACAAGUCGGAAAGUGAAAUGUAUUGAUCUCACUACGCCAACGCUCCAUUAAUACUUCUAUCAAAGAAGUGUCUAAUUGGUUACAGACAUUAGUAUGUAUUUGUAAAUACCCCAAAACCCCAGUCGGGUAAUAAUUCUUUUUGGGUGUCACUUAAAACUCACACUUCCAAUGAACGUCCACUCUCAUCGGUUCUUAAUGACCUAAUGUAAUGGGGAUUGUCACAUACGGCUGUUGAAAUGUGGUUUGGUUGAUCCCAUAACAAAGUGUUGAUAGUGCGUCUGGGAUUGAAUUCCAUUUCUGUAAGUAACAGAGCCAAAAUAAAUAUUUAUUGUGACGCCCCCAAAAUAUAUAUACACAACCCAUCCUGAGUCGCCAAAUACAUGGUACAUAAUUUAAAUACAAACUUCGUUUAUACAAUACGACAAAACGUAGUUGAGAGUUUUAACACGAAUAUUGUCUCGUAGACAAUAUCCAAACUCAAAUGGAGUCCUCAUUACAUUUAUUAUCACAGUAUUUCAUAGAAUAGUGAAGACUACUAUAGCCACCAUCUUGGACCAUUACUCCGUUUCCCGACUAGUCCCAGCUAUAUUCUCAUUUUCUAAAGAGAACAAUAAAAACAAAGGGUGAGCUCAACUAGCCCAGUAAAGAAUAUUAUGACUAAGAUAAUGCAGAAUAAAUUAUCGUUAGCCUUCAACAGUGUUAAACUGAUAGAAUACAAUAGACAACAAGUUUAAUUACAGCGGAACAAACGAUCCAUUAGAAGAGUCAAUUAGAGAAUGAUAUCUACUAUCUUCUAUGAUUUAAAAGUUCAUCAUCAAUAUUUUAUCGCUGUAACACAGCUCAAUAAAUAAUCCAUAUCAUCGAACUAUCCAUGCACUACGGGCCAAAGAUAUUCGUUAGUAUCACAUCCAUGAAUUAUCCAUGCACUACGGGCCAAUGAUAUUCAUUAUUAUCACAUCCACGAAUUAUCCAUGCACUACGGGCCAAGGAUAUUCGUUAUUAUCACCAGUGGAAAUGAUCAUGCCAACAAUUAUCCAUCAAUGCACUACGGGCCAAUGAGGACUUUUACCACAUCAUUUGUAACAAUACAGGUCAUGAUUAUACCGAAACAUAAUUCCUGGUCAUAAUCAUACCAAUUAACAGUCCAUCUAUGCACUACGGGUCAAAGAUGACUUUUAUCACAAUCUAAACAUGAGGAUGAUGACAAUGAUAUAAGCAUCAAUCAAAUGAAACCAAGGAUAAAUAUUAAAGAUUUUUAAUUUAUCCUGUUUAAAAAAAUAUCCAAAUUGCCAAUAUAAUAACUGCUUUGUGUAGUAAAAUUUAAGAAUAAUAUUUACGUAUCAAAAAUAAUUUGGACAGAAAAGAAUCAAUUUUUCGUCGUAAAUAGUAACCCAUGAAUAGUACUUCAUGAAUAGUACCUUGUGAAUAGUACUUUGUGAAUAGUAUCUCAUGAAUAGUACCGUACGUAUGAAUAGUACCGUACGUAUAAAUAGUACCGUAUAAAUAGUAUCGUAUGUAUGAAUAGUGUCGUAUGUAUGAAUAGUACUCAUGAAUAGUACUCCGGCAUGAAAAGAUUAAAAUUUAACGAGAAUGUUCAAAAAGAUAUUCUUGUGAAACGAUACUAGAUGAAGCGUAAAUUUCAAGGAUAUUCUACUAAUUUCAAGGAGUAAAGAAGCAAUACUCAUCAACAUGACUGUAGAAUUAGGAAUAUGAAACGAAAUAAUAUUACUUACAUAUUACAGAGUAUGGAAGAAAAUAUUAUUUCUUACGAAUAUUGAACAAAAAUAAUAUCCCUUACAACUGUUGAACGAAAAUAAUAUUCCUUACGAAUAUUGAAAGAAGAUAAUAUUCCUUACGAAUAUUGAACGAAAAUAAUAUUCUUUACGAAUAUUGAACGAAAAUAAAAUUCCUUGCGAAUACGAAAAAUAAUAUCGUAAGCGAAUAUGAAAUAAAUAAUACCCCUUACCUUAAAAGAAGAGUAUUUCUGACUAGUACGACGGGGAUAUUCUUGAAGAAAACUUGUACUAUUUUCUACACUUAAAGCUUCCUUAAACUCUAAAGAAAUACGCUCAAUAUUAUAGAAGAAGAAUUCUCUGAUUCUGGUGUGAUUUUCAUUUCUAAACUAAGCAUCCUAUUUAUAGGAGAAUGGAAUGAUAUUAUGUAGAAAAUAAAAGCACGGACGCAUAGUAAUUGAAAAUUCACGGGCGACGUUCGGCUGAAACUUUAAAAAAAUUUAAUUUUACUAUGCAACACAAUACAGUACUAUGCAUAAUANNNNNNNNNNNNNNNNNNNNNNNNNNNNNNNNNNNNNNNNNNNNNNNNNNNNNNNNNNNNNNNNNNNNNNNNNNNNNNNNNNNNNNNNNNNNNNNNNNNNAAAUAUUAUAUAUAUAUAUAUAUAUAUAACAAAACUUUCUACCGAUAAUUUUGAAAAAUGGGUAAGUGAGGGUCCAUGUAAUAAGCCAAAUUUACAACAAUUACGUCUUAAAAUACCCCUCUAUUUAUCUCAAUUCCUUUGGCUUCACUAAACACAUUUUUAAUAAUAUUUAUCCAUCAUUAAUAUUAUAACUCAUAAUAUUAACAACCAGAUCAUUCACAGGAAAGAGGUGGCUUUCCGAUAAGGACUUCUCCUUAUUGGCAUGCAAUUAGGUGAUCAAACCCCUUUCCUCGACAGAACUUUCUAGACAUUGUCAUUAAUGCAAGUAAUAAUAUGAAUAACUUUGUCGUCUCAAUUAUUGAUUUAAUAAUAUAAAAUAUUAUAACAAUAAUUAAAUCAAUAAUGUGAGAUACUAUGCAGCAAUUACUAUGAUAAUAAUUGAAUAAAACUGAGUGACUUCUCACAUAAGCAUCAAUAAUCAAAGAUACUGUACAAUACCGUGUGCUACCAUGCAACCACGCGUAUUACUGUACUUUUAUCACCAGGUAUUUCAACAGUUAACGGUAAUAGUUUUGCCGUUAUUUUUAUAAAAAGUUAUUUCUGUCAUUUUCUAACUCCGACAAUAAUUCUGUUAUGGGGUCCACCAAUGAUUGUGUCAUCGUAUAAAUAUUUUCUGAUAAAACGAAUAUUCACCGACCAAAUGAAUAUUUUAUAACAACUUACUUACUUUGCAAAAUUUGUAAACAUUACCCACAACUAUAACAUUAUAUCAAAUCCACACCUUAUUAUUCAAAAUAACAUUUAUUAAAUCUUUAUUCAUAAAAGUUGGGGUCUUACAUUUAUCAACAACACAAACAACAUAGAUAAAACACCAUUAACUCUUAAAUUAAACAACACAUAUAUUUUUGGAGAAGUGAACAAAAACAAAAUAAACGUCCAUCAACUCUUAAAGUGUACAACAUAGAUUUUUUUUUAAAAAAAAUAAACUUCAAAUUUCACUAAUAAACAACCAUACAUAUAUGUUGGAGUGUAUCAAUGUUGUAAGGUUGGUUGUAAGGAUUUACCGAACUCCUUUUGAUUUGUUACUUUCGUCUCAAAUUCGCUACAACGAUUGUCGCUUAAGUUUUUUGAUUGCUUUGAACAAUAUCAGAUGGACAAGAUGGAACAACUUAAAAUUUUGUUUGGAUGCAAGGCGUCAUUUUGUAUACCUAGCGUCCGCAAUAUUAAACCGUGGACGAUUAAUACCUUCAGCGACGUCGUUUUGUAUACCUAGCAUCAUUAUAUUUGAAUUUAAAACGGCACCAUAUCCAAUUAUGUUUGAAUUAAAAACGGCACCGUAUCCAAUUAUGUUUGAAUUAAAAAUGGCGUCGUAUCCCAUUAUUGAAAACGACGCUGUCCUAUUUUCGCUUCAAUAUCCAAACUUUCGACUUACCGGUAACGACCUCGUGUUGUAUACCUAGCGUCCAUAGUAUUAAACUGCGAACGAAACCUUUCACUAUUAAUAAUGUACGACUUCAUUUAAAUACUUGAACUAGCGUUCGUAGUAUUAAAUUACGUAUCGUAUGCCAACAAUGUACUACCAAUAAUGUACGACGUCGUUUAAAUCCUUCAACUAGCGUCUGCAGUAUUAAACUGCGUACCGUAUGCCAACAAUGUACUGCUAGGAUGGGUCAAUUAUUUAGUUCUUCUAUACAAACCCUGGAAGUGCCAUCACAACAAAUUGAUGAGGUUUAUUGAUGUAUAACCUCAAGAUGUUGUAAUGGACACUCCAAGGUUUGAAUAGAGGAACUAAACAAUUAACCUAUCCUGGCAGUACAUUUUUUGAGACAUCUAGGCGUUAAAUUAAGUUUAUAAAGCUAAAAAUCAUAUGUCCUACAUAUUCUUGUUAGUAGUUAUAUAUUCAAGUGAUUCGGGAUAAUGAGAAACACACAUGACAACCAAAAUUGGAAGCUUUGAUAAAGCGUCUCAAUCGGAUAAUGCUUCAAAUUCAGAACAAAUUAAGGGCUUCCAGAUGUUGUGCCCUCCAAAAAUGGUGCCACACAUGUCUCUUCAUCCUAGAUCACAUGAAUCGGUAACAACAAGAAUAUGCUAGAAGAAACAAAAAAUUCUUGAGCUUUAGGUCGAACUCUUUGUGUGUAUCCAGGAUUUCUUCUUACAUUUCUAUAUCGUCUUAUAUAUAGGGGACCUAACGUCCGCAGUAUUAAACUACGGACUAGACCGUUAAGUUCCAUCAUUUGAAUAUGACGACGUCCGACUGUCGCUUCAGUAUCCCAAUCGCAAUAUUAAGNNNNNNNNNNNNNNNNNNNNNNNNNNNNNNNNNNNNNNNNNNNNNNNNNNNNNNNNNNNNNNNNNNNNNNNNNNNNNNNNNNNNNNNNNNNNNNNNNNNNAUAUAUAUAUAUAUAUAUAUAUGUAUGUGUGUGUGUGUGUGUGUAUGUGUGUGUGUGUGUGUGUAUGUGUGUGUGUGUACCUCCACCGACAUCAAAUCAAAUUAAUUUAAAUUUAAUUUUUAUUAGUUAGGAGUUAAUUUUAUAUAUAUGAUCUAACAUUAAAUUGUAUUUAUACACACACUUGGCUUAAUUGUCCCCCAUGAGAGAAAAUGACACCCAACACCCACCCUCUAAAUUUAAAUAUCUCCUCGAGAUUAGCUUAGACCAUUUAAUAUUAAUUACAACUAUAUAUAUAUAUAUAUAUAUAUAUAUAUAUAUAUAUAUAUACACACACACACAUGCGCGCGCAAGGACGUCAAGUUAAGUUAAGUCAAAUCAAAUCAAAUUUUAUUUUUAUUAAUUAGAAGUUGUAUAUAUAUACGAUCUAACACUAAAUGUAGAAUACAAUCUCCUUGAUUAAUUUCAAUUUUGUGAUUAUGAUGGUAGUCAUGUAUUAAAAGUUAUAACGCAUUGCGUUGAUUAAUAAAAUGAUCAUAUAUUCAAAGACUAUUCAAUGAGAAGUAAUUAAUGAGUAUUUCUUAGAUUCCUAGAGAUACCUUUUAAGUUGAUCCGUUUUGACCCUUCUAUAUAGUUAUACGUUAUGGUGAUGGUUCGAUGCGUCGCUGAAAACUAAGAAGACGGUUCUUUGAUAUACGUGACGGAUCGAAUCGUCGCCCAAUCCGUCGUUAAAAAUGGUGAGCAAGGUAUGUUCAAUUUUGUGAUUAUGAUGGUAGUCAUGUAGUAAAAGUUAUAACGCAUUGCGUUGAUUAAUAAAAUGAUCAUAUAUUCAAAGACUAUUCAAUGAGAAGUAAUUAAUGAGUAUUUCUUAGAUUCCCAGAGAUACCUUUUAAGGUGAUCCAUUUUGACCCUUCUAUAUAGCUAUAUGUCAUGGUGAUGGUUCGAUGCAUCGCUGAAAAUUAAGACGGCGGUUCUUUGAUAUACGUGACAGAUCGAAUCGUCGCCCAGUCUGUCGUUAAAAAUGGUGAGCAAGGUAUGUUAAAUAAAGGGGUAUACACUUGAU